Molecule: non-coding RNA, 139 nt
Organism: Triticum aestivum (bread wheat)
Lineage: Eukaryota; Viridiplantae; Streptophyta; Magnoliopsida; Poales; Poaceae
Source: Rfam
CCCAUCGAUGAUGAUGAGCUGAUCUCCUACAUCACCUCCGGCCUCGACAUGGAGUACCAACCUCUCGUCUCCGCCAACGACGCCCGCACCGAGCCCAUCAGCAUCGACGAUCUCUACGCCCAGAUGAGUAACUUCGAUC